AGCGUCUGGAAAGGCGCGCGAUACAGGGUGACAGCCCCGUACACAAAAGCGCAUGUGCUGUGAGCUCGAUGAGUAGGGCGGGACACGUGGUAUCCUGUCUGAAUAUGGGGGGACCAUCCUCCAAGGCUAAAUACUCCUGACUGACCGAUAGUGAACCAGUACCGUGAGGGAAAGGCGAAAAGAACCCCGGCGAGGGGAGUGAAAAAGAACCUGAAACCGUGUACGUACAAGCAGUGGGAGCCCCACCACUAAGCCAGUGGUGAACUCCACAUCCGCAUCCUUUGCUGAGGAUACGGUUAACGGAGCGAAAGCGACGUUCAACCGCAAAACAAGCAGAGGGGGCUUAGUGGUGGGGUGACUGCGUACCUUUUGUAUAAUGGGUCAGCGACUUAUAUUCUGUAGCAAGGUUAACCGWAUAGGGGAGCCGGAGGGAAACCGAGUCUUAAYYGGGCGUUAAGUUGCAGGGUAUAGACCCGAAACCCGGUGAUCUAGCCAUGGGCAGGUUGAAGGUUGGGUAACACUAACUGGAGGACCGAACCGACUAAUGUUGAAAAAUUAGCGGAUGACCUGUGGCUGGGGGUGAAAGGCCAAUCAAACCGGGAG
Molecule: ribosomal RNA, 603 nt
Filed under: Salmonella enterica
Lineage: Bacteria; Pseudomonadati; Pseudomonadota; Gammaproteobacteria; Enterobacterales; Enterobacteriaceae
Description: partial 23S ribosomal RNA
Source: RNAcentral